RNAcentral lists this ribosomal RNA (230 nucleotides) under uncultured bacterium. Its description in RNAcentral is "partial 16S ribosomal RNA". It matches the Rfam family "Bacterial small subunit ribosomal RNA", at positions 94 to 339 of the family's 1533-position model. The record is from RNAcentral.
AGUGGCGGACGGGUGAGUAACGCGUGGGAAUCUACCAAGCGGCGGGGAAUAACAGUUGGAAACGACUGCUAAUACCGCAUACGCCCUUCGGGGGAAAGGCUUCGGCCACCGCUUGAGGAUCCCGCGUCCGAUUAGCUUGUUGGUGGGGUAACGGCCUACCAAGGCGACGAUCAGUAGCUGGUCUGAGAGGAUGAUCAGCCACACUGGGACUGAGACACGGCCCAGACUCC